AAAGGGGCGCUAAUACGGCAUACGUCUUACGGGAGAAAGCAGGGGACCUUCGGGCCUUGCGCUAAUAGAUGAGCCUAAGUCGGAUUAGCUAGUUGGUAGGGUAAAGGCCUACCAAGGCGACGAUCUGUAGCGGGUCUGAGAGGAUGAUCCGCCACACUGGGACUGAGACACGGCCCAGACUCCUACGGGAGGCAGCAGUGGGGAAUAUUGGACAAUGGGGGGAACCCUGAUCCAGCCAUGCCGCGUGUGUGAAGAAGGCCUUUUGGUUGUAAAGCACUUUAAGCGAGGAGGAGGCUACCUAGAUUAAUACUUUAGGAUAGUGGACGUUACUCGCAGAAUAAGCACCGGCUAACUCUG
Molecule: ribosomal RNA, 357 nt
Filed under: Acinetobacter sp. OL7
Lineage: Bacteria; Pseudomonadati; Pseudomonadota; Gammaproteobacteria; Moraxellales; Moraxellaceae
Description: bacterial SSU rRNA
Rfam family: Bacterial small subunit ribosomal RNA
Source: RNAcentral